UGGGGAAUAUUGCACAAUGGGGGAAACCCUGAUGCAGCGACGCCGCGUGAGCGAAGAAGGCUUUCGGGUCGUAAAGCUCUGUCCUAAGGGAAGAUAAUGACGGUACCUUAGGAGGAAGCCCCGGCUAACUACGUGCCAGCAGCCGCGGUAAUACGUAGGGGGCGAGCGUUAUCCGGAAUUAUUGGGCGUAAAGGGUUCGCAGGUGGUUCUUUAAGUCAGGUGUGAAAGGUAGUGGCUCAACCACUGCAAGCACUUGAAACUGGAGGACUUGAGUACAGGAGAGGAAAGCGGAAUUCCUAGUGUAGCGGUGAAAUGCGUAGAUAUUAGGAGGAACACCAGUGGCGAAGGCGGCUUUCUGGACUGAAACUGACACUGAGGAACGAAAGCGUGGGGAGCAAAC
This 400-nucleotide ribosomal RNA is filed under the name uncultured bacterium. RNAcentral's name for it is "bacterial SSU rRNA". It matches the Rfam family "Bacterial small subunit ribosomal RNA", at positions 355 to 773 of the family's 1533-position model. The record is from RNAcentral.